GCAAACGCAUUAAGUAUCCCACCUGGGGAGUACGACCGCAAGGUUGAAACUCAAAGGAAUUGACGGGGGCCCGCACAAGCAGUGGAGUAUGUGGUUUAAUUCGAAGCAACGCGAAGAACCUUACCAGGGCUUGACAUAUACAGGAAUACUUAAGAGAUUAAGUAGCUCUUCGGAGCUUGUAUACAGGUGGUGCAUGGUUGUCGUCAGCUCGUGUCGUGAGAUGUUGGGUUAAGUCCCGCAACGAGCGCAACCCCUGUGAUUAGUUACCAGCACGUAAAGGUGGGAACUCUAAUCAGACUGCCGGUGAUAAAUCGGAGGAAGGUGGGGACGAUGUCAAAUCAUCAUGCCCUAUAUGCCCUGGGCUACACACGUACUACAAUGGUCGAGACAGAGGGAAGCGAAAUAGAGAUAUGGAGCAAAACCCAAAAAUCGAUCUCAGUUCGGAUUGAAGGCUGAAAUUCGCCUACAUGAAGCCGGAAUUGCUAGUAAUGGCAGGUCAGCAUACUGCCGUGAAUACGUUCCCGGGCCUUGUACACACCGCCCGUCACACCAUGGGAGUUGGGAAUACCCGAAGCCUGUGAGCCAACGAAAGAGGCAGCAGUCGAAGGUAGAAUCAAUGAUUGGGGUGAAGUCGUAACAAGGUAACCGUA
This 650-nucleotide ribosomal RNA is filed under the name uncultured Bacillota bacterium. RNAcentral describes it as "bacterial SSU rRNA". It matches the Rfam family "Bacterial small subunit ribosomal RNA", at positions 851 to 1504 of the family's 1533-position model. Lineage: Bacteria; Bacillati; Bacillota. The record is from RNAcentral.